GACAGAGGGUGCAAACGUUGUUCGGAAUUACUGGGCGUAAAGCGCGUGUAGGCGGCUCGGCAAGUCGGGUGUGAAAGCCCUGGGCUUAACCUAGGAAGUGCACUCGAAACUGCCAAGCUUGAGUUCUGGAGAGGAAGGCGGAAUUCUCGGUGUAGAGGUGAAAUUCGUAGAUAUCGAGAGGAACACCGGUGGCGAAGGCGGCCUUCUGGACAAAAACUGACGCUGAGACGCGAAAGCGUGGGGAGCAAACAGG
RNAcentral lists this ribosomal RNA (253 nucleotides) under uncultured bacterium. RNAcentral describes it as "partial 16S ribosomal RNA". It matches the Rfam family "Bacterial small subunit ribosomal RNA", at positions 524 to 776 of the family's 1533-position model. The record is from RNAcentral.